GAUGAACGCUGGCGGCGUGCCUAACACAUGCAAGUCGAACGAAGCACCUUACCUGAUUCUUCGGAUGACAGUUUGGUGACUGAGUGGCGGACGGGUGAGUAACGCGUGGGUAACCUGCCCUGUACAGGGGGAUAACAGCUGGAAACGGCUGCUAAUACCGCAUAAGCGCACGAGGAGACAUCUCCUUGUGUGAAAAACUCCGGUGGUACAGGAUGGGCCCGCGUCUGAUUAGCUGGUUGGCAGGGUAACGGCCUACCAAGGCAACGAUCAGUAGCCGGUCUGAGAGGAUGAACGGCCACAUUGGAACUGAGACACGGUCCAAACUCCUACGGGAGGCAGCAGUGGGGAAUAUUGCACAAUGGGGGAAACCCUGAUGCAGCAACGCCACGUGAGUGAAGAAGUAUUUCGGUAUGUAAAGCUCUAUCAGCAGGGAAGAUAAUGACGGUACCUGACGAAGAAGCUCCGGCUAAAUACGUG
This 477-nucleotide ribosomal RNA is filed under the name uncultured bacterium. Its description in RNAcentral is "partial 16S ribosomal RNA". It matches the Rfam family "Bacterial small subunit ribosomal RNA", at positions 28 to 507 of the family's 1533-position model. The record is from RNAcentral.